CAAAUAGCCAGAAAACAGAAAAGAUUAAGUAAAACUAAACUUGAGGCUCAUAGGAUUCAUCAAUAUUUUAUUUCAUCAUUCUUUGUUUUCAAAUCUAAAGCAUAUAAUACUGUGGUAGAUUUUUGAGAUAUGAACUCUAAACAUAUAUGACAAUAAAAUCCAAAAGGGCACCAAAGAAAAAUUUAAGACUGCCCUAGUUUUGUUUCACAUAGCAAUAAUAAUUAUUCAAGAUGGCAAACAUGAUUAUUGAUACAUAACAACAAAAAAAGAGAAUUUCAGCGUUUUCUCCAAUAAACAAGAGUAAAGAAACCAUCAACACUGUCUGUCACUCUCUCUUCUUUCUUCGGUUAUGUGACACAAAACCUCACUUCAUCUUGUCGUAUCACCAAAUAUUAUAUUCAAGUUAACAAAAGGGACUCAGCUGCAUUGAUUUUAAGAAGAAUAUUCUACACAACUUUUCUCCUUUUACCAAAACAUGUAAUAGAACGAAAGCAAAAAGAAUCUUGCAAAAUACAUUAUUAAAACAGAAACGGACGAGGGAAAAAAAAAACAGAGAACAAAAG
This 563-nucleotide unclassified non-coding RNA is filed under the name Hevea brasiliensis (rubber tree). Lineage: Eukaryota; Viridiplantae; Streptophyta; Magnoliopsida; Malpighiales; Euphorbiaceae. The record is from RNAcentral.